GUCUUGAGAUCUUCUAUAGAAUUAAUGUAGGCACAACUCCUUCAAUGAUGAAUCAGCACUAUCUAAUGAGAUCUUUUCUCUCUACUAAAGUCUUAUUUAAAUAAUUAACUUUUAUCUAUAGUGUAUGUCUUAGCUUCCCAGUUAUUCUUCAAACUCUCAGAGAAGCCCCUUCGCAUGUAUGCCUUUGCAUCGCCACUCCCAAAUGUCUCGACACAAGAGCUUAACCAAUAUGCACUAAUUGUAUUUGAAGGGAGGUGCUCACAUGGGAGAAACGCCUUCAGAUUGGAAAAUGAACGGUCUGAGUUGAAGUCACGCAAGGAAAAACUUGCUGGAAUAUUCAAGAAGUGGUGAUAGGAACUGGUGCAAUUUCUUUGUGAAACAGUCUAGCAAUAUCUGUUAAAGCUUGAAGACUCACAUAUGCUACAGCCCACAAGUCCAUUGCUAGAGAUGUAAAAUUCUCACACAAGCAGCAGAAAUUCAAUGAGAAAGUGCACGUCAACAUUUCCAUCAUCGUUAAAAAAAGAAAAUAAAUGUACAUCAAAAGAAAAAAAAAGGAAGAAAAAGAAGAAGAAGGAGAAGAAGAAUAGAUACAGUCGGAGCUGCUCCAACAGACCACUGCGAGCCCGCUGGUGAUAGUGUCCUACCAUUCCCUACUACACAACAUGGCGGCGCACUGGGGCAUACCACAGAACAGGUUUUUCAUACAAAUGUUGUGAAAGAUGUUCUACAAUUAAAAGAAAAAAUAAUUGAGCAGUAAUUCAAUCUCCUCCACGCUGCGUAUAAGAAUGUGGGGUGUAAAUGACAAGUGCAUGUGAGUAUCUUUUCCUUCCAUAUUAGUUAUUCAAAAUAUAGAUUGCUGCCAACAAACUUUUCAUAUUAGCAUAAGAAAACCAGUGUUACCAUGCCAAGCUAAUGAAGUAAUUCUCACCAAAAGGCAAAGAGACCUGAAUUUUUGUUAGCAUAGACAUUAUUAUCUGCGUAAAUGUACAAUUUCCGAGAGACUAUCUGAAAAACUGAAAAUACUGAAAGGUUGCAAAUAUCUCUGAUCUGACCUGGAAGUCCAGAUCUCUAGGUCAGCAAUCACUUUUCUAGAAGGUAAAUUAUAAUAUCAGUCUGUCAACAACAGAGAGGUUAAAAAAAAUAUUGCCUGAACUAUCUUUAUGCAUGAGGCAAACCCGAUGCUCAGAAGCGGCGUGAAGGCGACCUGAAGAGAAAUCUGUGUCAAAGAUGUUCAUCUUGGGUCCUAUUCCUACUUCCAAAGUGCUUGCUUCACAGUCCAGCCCCCUGUGCCAGUCAGCCAGGAAAGUUUCUUCUGAAGGGGUCUCAGUGGUGUCCACUCAGUGGCUUGGAGCUCCUCAUUACGAAGUAGCCAGGACACGUGCCCCUCAGUCGUCGGGAACUGUUGGAUGUCCUCUCCUGGCCAUCAGCCCUGACACCCGACUUCCUCCCACACUCUGUAGCCAGGCGUCUCAAGUACCUCUCCAUCCCAGCCCCUGGCAGAAAUAUAUGCUGAGCUUCCUCCAGGCCAAGAAGCAAAACAGAUGGACUGGACUCACUGCUCUACUCACUAGUCCACGCUGGUGGGCCCACUAGCGUGUCUAGUCCACUCGCUCCUUGGGCUGACUCCCUGGGAGCUGAGCUGGACCUGACGCUCCAUUUUCCUACCUCAGAAUCCACUUCUCUUUCCAUUUCUUCUUUGGAAGACAGGAAUUUUAAGGUCUUGGUAUAAAAUAAAAUGAA
Mustela erminea (ermine) is the source of this 1740-nucleotide long non-coding RNA. RefSeq lists it as uncharacterized. The transcript is spliced from 3 exons. The record is from RefSeq and is a predicted model, not a curated record. NCBI's taxonomy places the organism in Eukaryota, Metazoa, Chordata, Mammalia, Carnivora, Mustelidae.